UCUGGCGGCGUGCUUAACACAUGCAAGUCGAACGAUGAAGUUCCUUCGGGGAUGGAUUAGUGGCGAACGGGUGAGGAACACGUGAAGAAUCUGCCCUCCACUUUGGGAUAACUCCGGGAAACCGGGGCUAAUACCGAAUAUUGAAACAUAAGUGGCAUCACUGAGUUUUGAAAGAAUUUCGGUGGAGGAUGACCUCGCGGCCUAUCAGCUUGUUGGUGAGGUAAUGGCUCACCAAGGCGACGACGGGUAGCCGGCCUGAGAGGGCGACCGGCCACACUGGGACUGAGACACGGCCCAGACUCCUACGGGAGGCAGCAGUGGGGAAUAUUGGGCAAUGGACGAAAGUCUGACCCAGCGACGCCGCGUGCGGGAUGAAGGCCUUCGGGUUGUAAACCGCUUUCAGCAGGGAAGAAGCGAAAGUGACGGUACCUGCAAAAGAAGCACCGGCUAACUAUGUG
Molecule: ribosomal RNA, 458 nt
Filed under: uncultured bacterium
Lineage: Bacteria
Description: bacterial SSU rRNA
Rfam family: Bacterial small subunit ribosomal RNA
Source: RNAcentral